RNAcentral lists this ribosomal RNA (428 nucleotides) under uncultured bacterium. RNAcentral describes it as "bacterial SSU rRNA". It matches the Rfam family "Bacterial small subunit ribosomal RNA", at positions 355 to 776 of the family's 1533-position model. The record is from RNAcentral.
UCGAGAAUUUUUCUCAAUGGGCGAAAGCUUGAAGGAGCGACGCCGCGUGGGGGAUGAAGGGCUUCGGUCCGUAAACCCCUGUCAUUUGCGAACAAACCCCGGUUGUGAACAACAGCCGGGCUGAUUGUAGCGAAAGAGGAAGGGACGGCUAACUCUGUGCCAGCAGCCGCGGUAAUACAGAGGUCCCGAGCGUUGUUCGGAUUCACUGGGCGUAAAGGGUGCGUAGGUGGCCUGGCAAGUUUGGCGUGAAAUCUCCGGGCUCAACCCGGAAACUGCGUCGAAGACUGUCGGGCUUGAGGAUUGGAGGGGGGAUUGGAAUUCUUGGUGUAGCAGUGAAAUGCGUAGAUAUCAAGAGGAACACCAGUGGCGAAGGCGAAUCCCUGGACAAUACCUGACACUGAGGCACGAAAGCUAGGGGAGCAAACAGG